UCCUGAGAAAGUAACCGGUUUCUUCAAUUGUGUCCUAUUACAAAAGAAAACGUGGUUAUUAACGUUAUACAAACAAAUACCAUGAAUUAAGAAUAUUCAUAAAUAGUUUACAAAUUCUGGAGAAAUUAGAAUACUCAAUAUACUUAAAGUAUAUUUCAAGGCUAUAAAUAGUUCAAAAUAAAAAGAUUAUUCAGGCUGAAAAAAAACAAAAAGAAUUAGCAAUAUUUCAGACAACAAAAGCCAUACAAAUUAUUUCAGUCUUCCAUUAGUUCAUUUCAGUCCAUUGUAAUCAACUCCUGCUGUACUUCAUGUUCAUCUUUAUGAACACAUCAGCCUUUCAAUUAGUGCCUUGGAAGUUUUCUGUCUAAUCCAAUGGCACACUCUCCAAAGUUAUCAGAAACCUGCAUUCAAGAGUUCUUUCAUGAACUCCUCCAAAGAAGUAAGCCUUGGACUGUAGCUGAUUAUAAGUCACUUUUUGUUGUUGUUGUUGUUGAGAAGGAUCAAAGCAAAACAUCAAUUAUGGAUGACAAAAGUCUUAAGACAGCCAUAAAGACACAGUUGACAAAGAAAUUUGGUUAUUUCUGUGGCUUACAACAAUUUAACAUAAUCAUUACAACAUAUAUUAAGACAUCAGAAUUUUAGAAAUCUCAUACAAUCCUGGAACACAUAUUAACAACAAAUCUCUAUCAGUAUAACCCAAAGGAAGCUAAACACCACCUCACACUUGACAGUGUUUCCUGUAUAAUUCUAACAUUACAAAUGAGCCUAAUAUAUCACUCUUGGACUUCAGGAAGCCUGAUAUCUAAAAAGUUAGUUUAAGGUCAAAAGUUUUCGAAUUAACUUUUUUCCAUUAGUAUGGUCAUAUUUUUCUUACUUAUUUGUAAGUUAUAUAAUUUAUCAAUUUUUUGUUGUUCUGUUCCCCAACCUCUAUGUCAGAUAAAGAAUCACCCAGGCCAGAUACAAUGGCUCAUGCUUGUAAUCCCAACACUUUGGGAAGCCAAGGUGGGAGAAUUGCUUGAAGCCAGGAACCUGAGACCAGCCUGGGCGACAAAGCAAUACCCCUAUCUCUACAAAAAAUAAAAAAUAGCCAGGUGUAGCGACAUACACCUGUAAUCUCAGCUGCUCAGGAGGCUAAGCAGGAGGAUGGCUUGGACCCAGGAGUUCAAGGCUGCAGUGAGCUAUGAUUGCACCACUGCACUCCAGCCUGGGCAACAGAGUAAGAACUGUCUCUUUAAAAAAAUAAAAAAUAAAAAUGGGCCGGGCGCGGUGGCUCUAAAUUACUCAAAUUAAUCCUGAAGCCAUUCUGCAAUACUGUCUUUAAUGUAUACUCACUUGUUAUAGAAGCCAGGGUUUUUUCCCCUAAUUUGUACCAUUGCUAUAUGUAUUAUUGUACCAAACUACACUUUUAAUUACUGUAAAUUUUAAUAUAUCUUAGUAUCUGGAUGUGGGAACCUUGAAAGCAGGGACUUUGUGUUAUUCACCACUGUAUUCUCAAUAUCAGAAGAGUAUCUGGCCUACUAAGUGCACAAUAAACAUAGUUAAAAUGAAUGAGAGUGUUGUCUGUAAUUUUCUUUUUAUAGAUGAGUAGGUCUCAUGUGUAGACCCUGUACAAUCAGCAUCAGAACCCCCCAGAAACCUAAAAAUUAAAUUCUUGGUCCUUGCCUGCUGAAUCAGAAACUGUGUAUAAGGCCCAGUAAUCACUGUAACAUGCCAACUAGGUGGUUCUGUUAUUCACUCACAUUUGAGAACCACUGAUAAAU
Molecule: long non-coding RNA, 1760 nt
Organism: Macaca mulatta (Rhesus monkey)
Lineage: Eukaryota; Metazoa; Chordata; Mammalia; Primates; Cercopithecidae
Source: Ensembl